GAUGAAGAACGUAGCGAAAUGCGAUACGUAAUGUGAAUUGCAGAAUUCAGUGAAUCAUCGAGUCUUUGAACGCACAUUGCGCCCCCUGGUAUUCCGGGGGGCAUGCCUGUCCGAGCGUCAUUGCUGCCCUCAAGCACGGCUUGUGUGUUGGGCCUCCGUCCUCCUCCCGGGGGACGGGCCCGAAAGGCAGCGGCGGCACCGCGUCCGGUCCUCGAGCGUAUGGGGCUUCGUCACCCGCUCUUGUAGGCCCGGCCGGCGCAUGCCGACACAUCAAUCUUUUUUCCAGGUUGACCUCGGAUCAGGUAGGGAUACCCGCUGAACUUAAGCAUAUCAAUAAGCGGAGGA
Molecule: unclassified non-coding RNA, 345 nt
Filed under: soil metagenome
Description: partial contains 5.8S ribosomal RNA, internal transcribed spacer 2, and large subunit ribosomal RNA
Rfam family: 5.8S ribosomal RNA (bases 1-120)
Source: RNAcentral